RNAcentral lists this ribosomal RNA (509 nucleotides) under uncultured bacterium. RNAcentral describes it as "bacterial SSU rRNA". It matches the Rfam family "Bacterial small subunit ribosomal RNA", at positions 8 to 518 of the family's 1533-position model. The record is from RNAcentral.
AGAGUUGAUCCUGGCUCAGGAUGAACGCUAGCUACAGGCCUAACACAUGCAAGUCGAGGGUAGCGUGAGGAAGCUGCUCCCUGACGACAACCGGCGAAUGGGUGAGUCACGCGUGUCCAACCUGCCCCGUGCCCGGGGAUAGCCCUUGGAAAUGAGGAUUAAGACCCGAUAUGUGGCGCUUCCGCAUGGCGGCGCCAUGAAGCAGGCACGGGAUGGGGACGCGUCGGAUUAGCUUGACGGCGGGGCAACGGCCCACCGUGGCGACGAUCCGCAGGGGUUCUGAGAGGAAGGUCCCCCACACUGGCACUGAGACACGGGCCAGACUCCUACGGGAGGCAGCAGUGAGGAAUAUUGGUCAAUGGGCGGGAGCCUGAACCAGCCCAAGUAGCGUGCAGGACGACGGCCCUACGGGUUGUAAACUGCUUUUCCGGGAGGAUAAAGUGAGCCACGCGUGGUUCAUUGCAGGUAUCCCGGGAAUAAGGACCGGCUAAUUCCGUGCCAGCCGCGGC